GCUUCGUUUCACAGCCACCUUCAUACCAGUCUCAAGAGUUCCUUUAUAAACUUUGCCAAACCCACCCUCACCAAUCAACAACUUUGGAUUGAAAUUAUGAGUCGCAGCCAGUAUUUCAGCUAAAGACAUCUUCAGUUUGAGGUUUAAAUUAGUAACGUUGGAGGAGGCAUUUUCAGUUUUUUCAGUUAUCCAACUUGGAGACCUCCCUUUUCCAUAAAGAAACUCAGCUUUUACGGGCUUUGGUCGCUUUAAUCUCAAACAUAAUGAGAAUAAUAAAAUCAAAACCAAGACUAGAGACACACCUCCAGCUGAACCAAUUCUGAGAGCUAGAUGGUUUUUUGACUCAUGUUCAUCAACAGGCACUACAAUUAUCUUGUUCCCCACAAACUCCAUGAUCUCCAGUCCAUUCAGAAAAACAACUUUCUUAAUAGAAUUAUUUCCUGGGGCUAUACUAAAACUCAUAUAUCCGGAAUCAUCAGAAGGAACCACAAAAUCGAGGAAAAAUGGAGAUGCCAUUUCACUAAACCCACCAGAAUUAGGAUCGAUCACUUGACUCAAAUUGGUAGAUAAAUUGAGAUCAAAUUUCACAGUACCUGGUGACACACUGAUAAAGUCACAAAAGUGCAGACGAACAAGAUGCCUAGCUUUCUUGCUCACGUUAAAACGCCAAGUUAUAUUUGGAAAAUUGGAUGCCCCGUUAUUAUCUACACUCGCUUCUUUGCAAGUUGUGUACACAGAAUCAGGGGCAAUUUCUUGGACAGUCAACCCUUGACUGGCCUGAUGAAGUUUACCACUAAACGGACGGUUUGCACCCGAACCCCCAAAAGCUAGAUAAUCAUCAUCUGGUACCCAAUUUCUCCACAGGGUAUCGUUAACUUCUAGACCUCCAACAUUGAUCCUAUAACGUGUCCUAAGAGCUCCAUCUUUGGUCCGUAAAGGAGGAGUUGCAGAGGCAUUAUCCAUGAAGAAAUUUUGUGGGAGAAGAAAGGCUUCAAUGGCAUUCACGAAAGCAAAAGGUGUCUCUUCAGCUGGUUUGAAGUAGAUGUUGAAAUUUCCUACAGCUAUCGUGAGAAAGAACUCCUUGAUCACUGGGAACUCAGUAGUACUGUUCGGGACUCUAAAAUCUGUUAAAAGUGAAAAAUUUGAAGCAGACACAUUGAACAAAGCAUCAGCAAGAUGAGUCCCUUUGAAGCUGAAUGGAAAGAAAUGAAGGCGGACAAGGUAGGAACCAUUUUGAGUGAUAUCAAGCAUAUACGGGGUUAAUUUCGUAUAGAUUCUGGCUGUAUGAUAUAGGAGUGAUAUGCCGGGUAAAGGGUUUUCAUUUUGGAUAGAUUUGCUUUUUCCUACAGAGAAGGAAGAGUUAGACUUCUCAUCACCAACAAAAGUCCGCGGGUAACCGUCAAGAUCAUCGACAUCGGUGCCUGAUCCGCAGUUCAUGAAGUACUUAACCGGAGGAUUGUAAGAUACUGAGGAUGAAAGAAGAGAAAGAAGAAGAAGAAGAAAGAGUGGAUGAAGAGAGAACUCCAUAGAAAUUGGAUGAGGAUAUUUGAUGCUUUUUCUUUGAAUGGAGGAAAGGCUGUCAGGAGCGGAGGAUAUGAGGGAGUACUGGCAAGUUUGAAAUUUCAGAGGAAGAAUUGUUGACUUGUAUCUGUUACUCUUUGUCAAGAGCAGUUUUUAUCGACAACAAAAAGAGAUUAACCAAUUGAAUGAAGGAGAAGAAAAGUCACAUUCUUAGAUUUUGGCCAAAUACAACUACUUGCAAGUGCUUCUAUUUCACUUGCAAGCACAAAGGCAUUAUCACAACCAAAAAGUAUAGAAUCUCAUUGACUGUUCUCAUUCCUUGCUUGACCCAGUUUGCGAGUGUCUUUCUAACUAUGCUUGAUCAAUUAAUUUGUCCCUGUCGUUAUAGAAUCUUUGAAAAACAAACUAAUAAAUAAAUGAAGAAACAAUAAUUGACCGUUCUCGUUGACUGUUCUCAUUCCUUGCUUCUUACGGUUUGGGACUAAUUUUCUAAUUUUGUUUGUUCAUGUUUUAAAACUAUAUUUAUUUUAUAAAAAUAUUAAAUUAAUAUUUUUAUUUUUAUAUUUUUUAAUUAUCUUCAUAUGGUAAAAUUAAAAAUAUAAAAUAUUAUUUUGAUAUAUUAUUUACUAAUAAAAAAUAUUUUGCACACCAAUGUCAUGGACAUUGUUCUAGUAAAAGACACCAAUAUCUAGGACAUAUCCAACAAAAUCAUGGUCAUUCGUUGUUCAAUGUUCUAGUAAUCUAUCCCCCACUCCAGCCUUUUCUUUUGCGAAUAUAUCUUCAAGACUUAUAAUUAAAACUUGUCCUGAUAAAAGAAACAUUUAUUGCUAAUAUUUUUCUAAUUAAAAAGAAUUAAACUGUGUGAAGAUUUACUCAAUAUAACAUGCUCUACUUAAUGAAUUCAAAACAACUUGAUUAAAGAAUGAAGAUGGGAAAAACUUAAUUUAAAAAUAGAACACGAUAAAACAAUCUCAUUCUACUAGGGUUAACUCACAAAAUAGAUGACCCGAGUCAUGCAAUUAGAAUAACAUUAUAAAAAACAAAUAAAAAUAUAUCAUGAAACUUGUCCCAAUAAAUUAUCAUAAUCAGUUGAUAUAUAUAUAUAUAUAUAUAUAUAUAUAUAUAUAUAUAUAUAUAUAUAUAUUGGUUAUUGGGUUAGGCAUGCUCCGUUCAUAAUAGAUGGGCAUGAUCCAAGUUAUUAUAGGAGUUAUUAAAGGAAGUAAUCGUUUUCUCUAAUUAUAUAUAAAUGAACAUAACUCAUAUGAAAAAGCAAGUUUUUCAUUUGUUGAAUAAUCAUUCUCUAUUUCUCUUCUCUCAUCUUGGAUUCUCUGUAUUAUUUUGACAAGAUUUAUAAAAACGUUCGUACUGUGGAAUAUUACUUUAAUUCUAAUAAUUAAAAGGACACUGAAGUAAUCGAUUCGGGGAUACGAAAGCGAAUUUUCACAAGUAAGUUUUCCUUUCUAAUCUAUAUUGGUAUCAGAGCCAUGAUUUUAAUAUUUUUUUUUAUUCAGUACAUUUGUUAUUAUAUAAAUGUUAGAUGUAAAUUCAUGUUAAAAGAAUUCUUUCAUUGAGUCUUGAAUUUACAAAAUUUUAUGAAGUAACUGAUUUAUGAUUUUAUCUUUUCUAUCAUUAAUUAGAAAAGGCUUUCUGUAUGGUAGUUGUAUAAUUAUUAUAUAACAAAAAAAGAAAAAAAAGAACAAUUACCAAUUAAUCGUGUGAAUUGGUAAUGGAAACUGCCAUUUGGUAGUUGAAAAAAAUACCUUGAAAGAACACAUCUUUAAGAGAUGUGUAACUGCCCUUUGGCAGUUAAAAUAAUAAUAAUAAGGCAAUUACUAUUAAUUUAUUGUUAAUAUAAAUUGUUUAAUUGUGGUGUUAAUUUAUUCAUUAUUAAAAUAAAUUCCUUAAUUUCUGUGUGAUUUUUUUUAACAUAUCUGAUGAUACAUGCCUUAAUUAAAUAUUAAGUAUAAUAUUUAUGUGCUUUUAAAAUAUUUUGUUGUAGUGGAUAAGCAAUAAUAUACUGAUCAUUUAUUGAGUUAUGCCUUUAAUUAUGUUCAAAAAAUUCAAGAGCAUAUUGAUUAUAUGUAUCAUUGAAUGAGUAGACUAACAUAUUUAGUUGGGCUACAAUUUACAUUACAAAAUGCUAAUGCUUCAGCAUAUAGAGGAAAUUUAAAUAAAAAAGAUUUAUUUUAUACCAAACAAGGAAAUGUUUAUCAUAUUCAAGACAAUAUUGGACUACCUCCAAUAUACUUAGAUGAGUUUACUAUUUGUAUAAACUUAAUUAUAAUGAAGUUUAAGGAAAAUUGCAUUGGAUUUAGGCCUUUUUAACAAAAAUAACUAGGUUAAGAAGUUGAAGAAGAAACAUCGCAUUGGCCUUUGAGGACCUUUUGAUUCUUAGGUUUGUUCGGUUGUAUAAUGGAUAUAACUUUGAAGGUUGUGUUUUGUAUGUAAUAAAGUAUAUUGAAGAAGAUGAUAAAUACAAGUGCUUAGAGAAUGAGAAUAUUUAUUUAUGCAAGGAAUGAAAAAAAUUAAAUUUUACCUAGUGUUUCAUGUGUUCUUUUAAACCCAUGAAACACACCAAUCUACAUGAUGAAUGGGGCAUAUAUAGAAAAACACUAUUUGACCUGGUUCAAAAGCAAUUAUUUGAGUUAAUUAACUCUAUUAGUUGAUGGUUACAUUGUUUAUUAAAAACAAUAUGGUGUUAAAUGGGUCAUACUCUAGUAUUGACAUGCCUUAAUAUUGUUCUAUAAACCUAACUAUGGUAAGAAGGGUCCCGUUAGCAUUUAGUGCUAAGUACCAACAACAUAAAGGGUAAGUAAACAAAUAAGGGUCGGCUAAUUCUAUCUGAGUGUACAAACAUUAGAUUCAAAUUUGUCCAUCUGCGAGACACCAUGAGCUCAAAUGGUGGUUUACAUGUAGUGAGCUAGUUAGUUAGACCAAUUUAAAGAUCGUGUCAAUUGGAUCAACUCGACUUCUUGAAGAUUAGGUUAGUCGGGUCAACUAAAAUUUCUAAAGAUCAUGUUAACUAAGUCAACUGGGUUUCUUGAAAAUUAUGCAUCCUUUCUGAUACUUGUUCUUGAAAAGGUAAUUUUUAGGAUGCAUUGUUUGAAUAAGAGUGGUGGCCUAUCAAGUUUUGAGCAGGUCAUCUUGAUUUGCUUAGCCUCGCAUUUAAUAUCUAAAAUUGAGCCCAUGAUUCCAACAAAUCUACAUGAAUUUCAGUACAUUAAGCAUCCAAUCAAACUUUAUUAUUAUUUAUAUUUUACAGAUAUGCAUCCAAGGGAUGAACAUUAGCAUCUAAAAUCUGUCAAGCUAUCCACCUCAAUCACUCUUUGUUGAACAGACACUUCCAACCCAGAGAAUUACUAAGGCAUUUGGUGUGAUCGACAAAGAUUGUGAACGUACUUGCUGUUAUUUAGAACUUCUCAUCUGACAACAUGAAUUAACUAGAGCAUAUACUCAAAUAACUUCAAAGUCCAUUCGUUGCUGGAGAAAUUUGAUAUAAUAAUGGGAGGCACUGAGAGCUCAUUCCUGACCCGUGGGGAUCAUCUGGAAUCGUUAAUUCUUAAUUGGGAUACAUUACAGUAUCUGUUGUAUCUGAGAAAUCAUCAACUGGGAACAUAUUAGAACUCAGGAUCUGCAUAACUGGGAGUGCUGAAUCUGAUGAAACACCUGUUGUGGUGGUGUCCUCAUGUGCCUCUCUAUGCACUGCAGUCUGUUGAAGCUGCAUUGCGUAUUCUAAAUCCCAGCACACAUCAAUCAUAUUAGGCCUGUCUGCUCCUUGUGGCUUCAAACACUUCUCAGCUAUUUCACCAAAUUUUCUUAGCGAAUUAGGGUUGAUGUGACCUGCCAGUAGAGGAUCGAUAAUCUUUUCAAGCUGCCCUUCCUUUUGCCAAAACAUCCCCCAUUCAGCUAAGUUUAUUUCUUCCUUCUGCUGUGAGUCUACAACAGGGAGUCGAGCACAAAGCACUUCAAGAAGAACCACACCAAAAGAAUACACAUCUGAUUUAUUGGUUAACUGAAAAGUUCUGAGAUAUUCAGGGUCAAGAUAACCAAAAGUACCUUUAAAACCCAUGCUUAUAUGGUCCGGAUCACGCAUUCCUUGUUGAGAAAGACCGAAAUCAGCUACUUUGGCCACGUAAUGUUCAUCAAGUAAGAUGUUUGUAGACUUAACAUCACGGUGAAAGAUUCCUCCAUCAGGACCAGUAUGGAGGUAAUGGAGACCUUUUGCUGAGCCAAUACAGAUUUCAAGCCUUUGUUUCCAAUUCAAUUCAGUUUUUGCAGAUGGAUUCUUUGAGCACUCCUUCGUGCUGUAUAAGUGGUCCCUCAAAGUCCCCUUUUCCAAGAAUUCAAAAACCAGUAUCAUCUCCGAUCCUUCAUCGCAGUAGCCAACCAAGGAAACAAGAUGCCGAUGUUGAAUCUUUGAAAGGACCAUGACCUCAGUUCGGAACUCUGGAAGACCCUGGCCAUGACUUGAAUCGCUUCGUUUCACAGCCACCUUCAUACCAGUCUCAAGAGUUCCUUUAUAAACUUUGCCAAACCCACCCUCACCAAUCAACAACUUUGGAUUGAAAUUAUGAGUCGCAGCCAGUAUUUCAGCUAAAGACAUCUUCAGUUUGAGGUUUAAAUUAGUAACGUUGGAGGAGGCAUUUUCAGUUUUUUCAGUUAUCCAACUUGGAGACCUCCCUUUUCCAUAAAGAAACUCAGCUUUUACGGGCUUUGGUCGCUUUAAUCUCAAACAUAAUGAGAAUAAUAAAA
RNAcentral lists this long non-coding RNA (6273 nucleotides) under Populus trichocarpa (black cottonwood). Its description in RNAcentral is "long non-coding RNA (PTRI_LNC001515)". The record is from RNAcentral. Lineage: Eukaryota; Viridiplantae; Streptophyta; Magnoliopsida; Malpighiales; Salicaceae.